Molecule: long non-coding RNA, 13946 nt
Filed under: Zostera marina
Lineage: Eukaryota; Viridiplantae; Streptophyta; Magnoliopsida; Alismatales; Zosteraceae
Description: long non-coding RNA (ZMAR_LNC001836)
Source: RNAcentral
AUAAAUUUCAUUAAAAAUUGAAAGGCAAUGCCCAAAUUUCAAAAAGAUAGAGAAUAGAAAUACAGAUAAAAGUAAAAGAAAUGAGAAAAAAACAUUGACUCUCUCCCAUUAGCUACGUAGUCUAGUUAUAUAAUAACUAGAUACGCUGCCUUAGGAGGUUGGUCUCCCACACUUUUAUCACAGAUGUCUCCAAAGGGUGACAACAACUCUUCGUGUAACACGUCCUUACUGACCUCUUUAAAGACUACCUUAGGAGGCCUACCAACGUGCUGGGAGACCAACCUCUAAUACUUUCCACAAUUCCCCCCAUAGCCCUAAACCUUACACAUCCAGACAUCAGGCUAGGUGAUGUAAUCGAAGCUUGUCAGAAACUGAUACACCAUGCACCUCCAUGGGACCUCCAUUGGAACAUAAUAGGAGAACUCACUUGGCAUAUCUGGUCAGAGAGGAACAAAAGAUUACAACAACAUACUCUUUAGCAUAGUUCAAAAAGCGACGCUUAAGCGUCGCUUUAAGCGAAAAUAGCGGCAAAGCGGUUUUUUUGGACCGCUUUGCCAAACGCUUUUUUCAAAUGUUAUAAUGUGUUUUUUGGACCAUUAAUGAGGUAUUUAUUUAUCUCAUACACGUGUUAUUUAUCUCAUUUGACAGAUCUAUGAGAUAAAAAUAAUACGUGUCUAUUAAUGGGGUAUUUAUUUACCUCAUACACGUAUUAUUUAUCUCAUUUGACAGAUCUAUGAGAUAAAAAUAAUACGUGUCUAUUAAUGGAAAGUUAAAGAUAGCUAAAGAUAUAACCGCUUUAGCUAAAUAAUACGUGUCUAUUAAUGGGAAGUUAAAGCUUUAACCGCUUUAGCUAAAUAGCUAAAGAUAUAUCUGUUUAUAUUUAGCUAAGAUAACCGUUUUAGCUAUUUAGGGUUAUAUAUAGCUAAACCGCUUUAACCGCUUUAAGCGACGCUAAAGCGGUUAAAGCUAAAAAAGCGCUCCCUGGAAAUUGGGAGCGCUUUCCGCUUUUUCGAACUAUGCUCUUUAGAUUAUCAUUAAGGACUCCGGCCUUUCCUUUAGAACUGAUUUCUUUAAGAAAGGUUGCGGUUCUCAAAUGGAGAAGACUACUAUGCAGGUUUGGGAGACUAACCUCCUGAGGCUCAACCUUUAGUUAUUAGAUCACUAUGAGUGCUAACCACGUAGGAGAAUGUCGAUGGAGUGGGAAACCACUCUAUCCACCCCAUACAUUUUAAUUUCUUUUCCACCUUGUAAUCUCAGGGUAAUGCCCUUCAUUAUACUAAUGAAAAACUUUACUGUUUGAAAAAAUGUAAUAUUUCUGUUGUAGAGUUAUGUAAUUGACACUUGGAAACUAUGAUGUUGUACAGACGAUGCUGAGUUUCCAAAGGUGCAAUCACACCGUGAUUUUCUUAAAAAACAUGUUAUUUUUAAGGAGGUGAGUGCUUGCUUGGUCACUGUAAUCAGGAUAUAGCUUUAACAAAUUAUUAUUUAAAAACUGAGAUUUUUUUACAGGCAAUUCCUAUCAAAAGAUCUAUAUUAUUGUCCAAGAUACAUCAAACAUACAGGAUUAAUUAUAUAAAGGUUUGGAUUUUGGAAUAUUUUAUAAUUACAUGCUUAUUUUAAAUACUUUAUCUUACAAGUUACGUGCUAUUACAUUGCAUUCUUUUAUUAUUAUUAUUAUUUCAGGAUGUAAUUUUACCAAGAGCACUUGAUGAAGGAACAAUGACAAGUCUCAAUUCCAUCAUCAAUUCUAAUAAUGCCACUGUGAGAGAUUGGACUUCAAACUCUAUUUCAUACAUUGAUAGAGUAAUGGUUAUUUGUUAUUUGUUAAUACCGUGACGUGUUUCAUUUUUUGUAGGUUGUUUCUUCAUUGAAGGAUGACACUUCUUUCAUUCAUGACUUGUUCACAAAGAUGAAAUCAUCAAGUACAUCAGCAGAAUCAAAAAAGAUGUUGGUAAGUUAAAAAUCGAGAGAAUUAAUUUUCUCUGGUUAUUUGUCAUCUUUUGUUUAUAUUUAUAAAUUAAUUUUAAUCAUGGUUUUAAGUUGCGUGCGCUAUAAACCCUAGAGCGCGUAUAGCCGGCGCUAUCUCUCCACGCUAUGAGCUGGCAACAUGAUUUUUUUAAAGUUUGUAAAUGGUAUACCGGAAUCCGUAUUCGAAUCCGCAUUCGAAUUCGAAUAUGACUAUCCAGAUUCGGAUUUGGAUACCUGAAUUGAAAUCCGGAUUUUAUUCGGUCGGAUUCGGAUAUCCAGAAAAUCCGCCGUUAAAAUCCGAAUUCGUUUAAGAAUUCCGGAUUCGGAUAUCCGGAUAAAUAUAUAAUAAAUUAAUAUUAAUACUAGUAUUAUUAUUAUUAUAUUAUAUUAUAUUAUAUAUUUAUAUUUAUAUUAUAAAUAAUUAAACAUUUAAAGUUUUAAACCUAAUUACCUUUAUAAUUAUAAAAAUCUUUAUAACUUAUUAACUUAUAAUUAUUAAAUCAUAACCCUAACUCUAACCCUAAUUCUAAAGUUAUUCGGAUUCGGAUUAUCUGGAUAAUUUAUCCGGAUUCGGAUUUUCAAAUCCGGAUUUUAUUUGGUCGGAUUCAGAUAUCCAGAUAAUUAUUCGGAUUCGGAUACCUGCAUAUCCGAUCCAAAUCCGACUGAUAUACAGGCUUAAUUUUUUUGAAUCAGAUUUAUAUAAAACGAAUUCUGAUCUUGAUUUUUUCUCUCUUUCUUAGAAUCAUAAUUCUAAUUUCUAAAAACAUGGAAUGAUCUGAUUUUUUUAAAUAGGGUCAGAUUUUCAUCUUGAUUUUCAAUUUAUUUUAAACAGGGUCUGAUCUGGGUCUGAUUUUACUCUUUGUUUUGGUCACUAAAAUUUAUUAUUUUUACUUUUAAAAGUAUUGAUUAUUUCCUACUCUUUAUUGACUAUAUUAUAUGGUUUAUAGUUAAUUGAUGGAAUUAAUAUUACAGGGUUUAAUAAUAUACAUGUAUAUCUGAUUUUUUUUUUAAUCACACUUGACGGUAUGUAGACGCUAUAGCACGCUAUCUCUCCAUAGCGCGGGUUGCCGGCUCUAUGCGUUAUAGCGCAACUUAAACCUUGAUUUUAAUUAGUACUCUCUUACAUUUCGAUCACAAAUUUGUGUUUAUUUUUUAUAAUGGAUAGAGGGUGGGCUUAGGGUUUAAUAUUAUUAUAUAUUCUCACAUUUAAGUGUUUUGUGGAGGGAAAGAUGGCUGAGGAUACCAUGAAAUAACAAUUCAAAUUAUAAAAUUAUAAAUUCUUUAAUAAUAAAACACCAUCUUAUACAGAUUGUGAUCUGUGGAGAGGUGGUUGAUGACUCCUUAGCCAAUGGUCCUAACACUCCUAUUUAUGGGUUUAUUACAGAACUUUAUUGAGAUUUUAACUUUUUAUUGGAAUGGGGAGUAUACCAAUUACCAAGUGUACUUGUUUGUUAUUCACUUUGGGGGCCAUUAGUGCACAUAUUGCAGUUCUGUUUAAAGUUUUCUGUGAGUAUUAUUUGGUAACAAUGUAAUUUUUUUGAACUGCAAUAUGUGCACUAAUGGCCCCCAAAGUUAAUAAUAGGUACACUUGGUAUACUCUCCAUUGGCCACACGUGGUACACAAAGUUAAUAACAAGUACACUUGGCCACACUUGGCACUAAUAGCGUCAAAGAAGAUGUUCACAUCUUUGAGAAUCUCACUGAUGGUGUAUUGUAACUAUUGUUUGAGCUUCCUAUUCGUCUCAGCCCAUACGUGCCACACCAUGCAUCCAAGUGUGGCCUAAUGUAACUCCCAGCAACUUGCUUCUGUAGUAGACUACUGCGUGUAUUGUCCUCUAUCACACCCCCUUUUUCUGGCUUGAUGUCAUGAUACCAUGUGCUGAUGGAUAUCUUUAUUGUUUAGGGUUCAGUUUUUUGUUGUUGUUAGUUUCAUUCUUUUAUGUGGACUUGAUCCUGAUUGUUUGAGAUCGUUUCACUCUUAACCAGGUUUUUUUCUUGCAAGAGUUUUGCAGUUUAGGCAAGAGUUUGCCACUUGUGCAUCAAUUACGCCUAUAUCGGUAUACUGAUUUUUAUUGUUAUUUUAUGAGUUCCGUUGGUUGUUUACACCAUUUCCUGGCUAGAAAGUAUCAGUUGUUUUGUUUGUUUUGGACUUUUGCAGUUGCCAGUCAUUAAUCUUUCACCCUUUUGUUUUUAUCAGUGAUUUUGCAAGUGAGGGGGCAUUUGAUGUUAUCACUGAAGCACUGCUGAGUUAUGAUAAGAAACUUAUAUCAGCAGGGUAAUUUCCAUGCAUGUUCAUUUUACAUUUCUUUUCUUGCCAUAUGGCAUUGUGGCUAUUUAAUGCAAGCUAGUAAAUAUUUUCAAAUUCCAGGACCGACAUCCUUAUACUCUUCCUUGGUCAGGACCCAAACCUUCUAAGGACGUAUAUUACUCAACAAAAUGGCCUAUCUCUUUUUGGCCUUCUGGUAUUUAUUCUAUAGAUAUGAAUUAUUGUCAUUGCAAUAUCCUAGUUUUUCUUGUUGUGUGAGCUCUAUCUAGAAUGUAGAUGCAAUAUCACAGGUCUCUAAUUUAUAAGUGUGGGGUUUUCAAAUGUAUUUACGAUUGCAAGGGUACAUGGUAUUAUAAAUAACACAUUUUAUUUUCCAGGUUAAAGGUGUUGGGGAAGAUACACACUGUCAGUUUCUUGAAAUUAUUCGCAUUUUAUUGGAUUCGUGUGCUCCAUCAAUUACGUAUCAGGUUCAAAUAUUUAGUGCAUGAGUGCAUCUAUGAUUUAUUUUUUAGAUUAUCUUGACUUUGUUAAUUCUAUAGUGUGAUUACCAUGAUUAUAUUUUCAGUUGGAGGUUUACAGAUUACAAUAACACCUUAAUACCUGUUGCAUAGGACCCAGCUGGAAGCUAUCAGCAUAGAAUAUUUUAAGAAGUUAUUUACAUUUUAUCCCAAUCCCUUACAAGUUAUACCCAUCAAUCCAUCAUAUUCCCAAGGGUAGCCUCUUCAGACAUGAAUGAUUGACUUGCAACUGCAACCACUAGAGGAAGAGAUUAGAUCCACUCUGUUCUCAACUCAGGGAAAUCCCCUGGACUUGAUGGGUUGACAUCAGAGUUUUUUAGAAAGUUCUGUUUUUAAGGGAAAGCUCAUCCUAAAUCUGCCAAUCACAUUUUCUUAACUCAUACCACAACUCACACAACCACAGAUAUGGGGGACUUUGACUCAUAUCACGUGUCAAUCUUAUAUACAAACUCAUGACCAAAAUCUCAGCAGAUAUGUUAAGAAAGGUAAAUGGAUUGAAUAUCCCCUAAUCAGGCAGCCUUCAUUGAGGGAAGAUUGAUAUCAUACGACAUAACCUAGGCAAAUGAGAUGGUAUGCAGAUUUGAGAGGAAGAAAACUCCCAAAAGUUACUGCCUUAGUAUUGUACUAAGAAAGGCAUUUGACACAGUAAAAUGGAAGACAAUUUUGACUACACUUUCAGCUCUAAGAAUCUUGACCAUGGUUUUGAAAGUGGGUAAUCGGACAGGUAACGAUCCGCCCGAUUACCCAAUUAUACCUAUUAUUUAAUAAUAUUUUCACUUAAUGUACUUUUUUCCCAUUCUACCUCUCUAUUUUAACUUAAAUUAAAAAUCCUUACUCCACUUUCUAAAAACCUUAAAAGUCUUCAUUUCUCUCCAUCCACUUCACCUCGCUGGAGCAGCCACUACUGUCGCCAAAGUUGGCUCUCAUUCUGGCCGGAGAAGAUCAUUUUCUUGAAUAUAGUUGCUGCUGUCGCCCCCCUCCACACGUCUCCUGAUUUUGUUAAGGUUUUAUAUUCUCCCAAGCCCCCAACAUCCUGAAACGAGGAACUCGUUUUUUUGUUUUGUUUUUUAAUUUUAAAAUUCUUUUAUAGCUUCGCUUACUAUAUUCCUACAGCCCCCAAAACGAGUUUUAUAUUUUUAUUUUUUUAUCAGUUUUAAUGUUUUAUAUGUAUUUAUAUUUUAUAUUGGACAAUAUGAAUUUUUACCUUUUUAUCAAAAUGCCCCUGGCACUUUAAGCGCGCUAAAGCACCCAAAGCAAAAAAAUGCCUCCUGAAAAGGGGAGGCGCUUUUUGCUUUUUUGAACUAUGGUGUUGAAUUUUUUACUAAAGUGUUUAAAGCCCUACUAAGACCACCAGUGGUAGUAGCCGUACACUCCUACCGAUGGAUUGUGUUUAGUGAGACGAACAUAUGGCUAGAUCACAGACUAAUUGAAUCUGAAGUAAGAGAGGUAUUGUUCUCCCUCUCCCAUGGUAAAGCACCUGGUCCUGAUGGCUUUACAGUUGCUUUCUUUCAGAAAUUCUGGAAUGAACUAAAGCCUAUGAUCAUGGCUUGUGUUAGGGAGUUCUUUCAAGGAUUACACUUGUCCCUAAAAAACCUACUGCCUCUGAUCUCUCUGAAUUCAGGCUAAUUUCAUGUGUGAAUCUCAUAUAUAAGUUACUCUCUAAGAUCCUUGUUAAUAGGAUGAAUGAAGUGGCAAGCAUGUUGGUCUCCCUUAACCAAACUGCUAUUAUGAAAGGCAUGGUUAUAUACUUAUAUCUGAUAAUAUCCUCCUAGCAGUAGAAAUGCUCUGAGGCUUCGGUAGGGCUAGAACACCUAAAGAUGCAUGUUGAGUGUGGAUCUAAGGAAAGCAUUUGAUACCAUUAGGUGGGAUGCUAUCCUUGAAGCCUCCACCAGCCAAGGUUCCAGAUGCGCCGCCACCUGGAGCACUUGAGCAUAUGCGUGCAGAUACGUCAGUGGCAUUUUCGUAAAUAUAUAUAAAACUAAAGGAAAUUCAUAUAUUUUUUUAUAUAUCUAAACUAUAUCAAUUAAAUUUUUUAGUUAAAAAUAUAUUAGAUAGAAAAAUUAUUAUAAUACAUAUAUUUAAUAAUUAUCAUAACACUCUAUAAUUCAUUGUAACAUCAAGGUUUAAAAACCGGUAGGGGUAUUUUCGUAAUAAUAUAACUCUUUAAAUGGCUACGGAUUUUUUAAACUUAUAAAAGAGAGGCUUUUAUAAAAAGAAAAUAAUAAAUAACCCAAGAGGCUUUUAAAAAAUAAUAACGUAAUGGGUUGGGCCUUCUUUAAUACAUUUAUAACAUCAAAAAUCUAUAUAAUAAUAAUUUAUUUAACUACACUUUUUUAGUCUCACAUUAGGAUUGGGCAUGGGUCGGGUUUAGGCCGGACCCGAACCCGAGUUUUCAAAUCGGGUUCUGGUUCGGGUCAAAAUCCGGGAAGGUCAAAAAAUAUUGAACCCCGACCCGAACCCGGUUUUGAUGUCGGGUUUGGUUGGGUUUGGUUGGGUUCGGGUCCGGGUCCGGGUCCGGGUUCGGGUUUAAUAAAUUGAUUGAAUAUUUUGCAUAAAAAAACCUGUUGUUUAAACAAUAUAUAAAUUUUAUAAAAAUCAAAUAAAAUGGUUUGUGAAUAUAGAGAGGGUUUGUGAAGAUGGAGAGAUCCGAUGACGGUGAGGAGAGGUCCGACGACGGCGAGGGGAAAGGGUCGGCGACGGCGAAGAGGGAAAAUGAAAGUGAAAGAGUUGAGGGAAAUGAAAUUAAGGUUUAAAUUUUAAGAUAUGAAAUUAACUAAUUAAGGUUUAUAAAAGAUGAGAAAUUUAUAAUUAUAUAUAUUAAUUUUUUUAUAAAGUGUUUUAUAUGAAAUUAUAUUAAUUAUUUAUAUUUUAAUGAUUUUUUUAUAAAUUUCUUCGGGUUUCGGGUGAGUCGGGUUUGGUUCGGGUUUAACCCGAACCCGACCCAAAAAAAUCGGGUAAAAAUUACUCGGGUUCGGGUCGUUCGCAUCGGGUUUCAUGACCGAAAAUAUCAACCCGAACCCGACAUGUUCGGGUUUGACCCGACCCACGCCCAUCCCUAUCCCACAUCGAUAGAAUUCAAAAAACACAAAGAAGAUUGGUUUAUAAAUAAAGAUUCAUUUUGUCUAAAAUAAAUAUAAAGUCUUAAGAGUGGGAGGAGCUUAUAUUAAGAAUAAUAUAGCUUUUUCAUGGACCAAUGUAUAAAUUUUUGACAUAAAAAUUUAUAAGGUCUAUAAUUUUUUUUUUUUGGCCUUUUUUUAAAUAACAACAAAACCCUGUUUUAAGGUAUUUAAAUAACUUAAAACAGUGUUUUGUUUUUAUUUAAAAAAAAAAAGGCAAAAAAAAUUUAUUUUAAGACCUUAUAAAUUUUUAGCAUAAAAAUUUAUACAUUGGUCCAUGAAAAGAGUUAUAUUAUUUUUAAUAUAAGCUCCUCCCACUCUUUAGACUUCAUAUUUGUUUUAGACAAAAUGAAUCUUUAUUUAUAAACCAACCUUCUUUGUGUUUUUUGAAUUCUGUCGAUGUGGGACUAAAAAUGUGUGGUUAAAUAAAUUAUUAUUAUAGAGUAUUUUUUAUGUUGUAGAUGUAUUAAAGAAGGCUCAGCCCAGCCCAUUACGUUAUCAUUUUUUAAAAGCCUCUUGGGUUAUUUAUUAUUUUAUUUUUAUAAAAACCUCUUGGGUUAUUUAUUAUUUUCUUUUUAUAAAAGCCUCUCUUUUAUAAGUUUAAAGAAACCCUAGCCAUUUAUAGAGCUAUAUUAUUACGAAAAUACCCCUAAAUGAUUAACCGGUUUUUAAACCUUGGUGUUACAAUGAAUUAUAGGGUGUUAUAAUAAUUAAUAAAUAGAUGUAUUAUAAUAAUUUUUCUAUCCAAUAUAUUUUUAACUAAAAAAUUUAAUUAAUAUAAUUUAGAUAUAUAAAAAAAUAUUAAUUUCCUAUAGUUUUAUAAAUAUUUACGAAAAUGCCACUGGCGCAUCUGAGCGCAUAUGCACGCAUAUGCUCCAGGCGGCGGCGCAUCGCGCAGAGGCGCAUCUGGAACCUUGGCCGGGCGCAUCUCCCAGUAGGGUCGCACCUGCGCAUAUGCGUGCACACCUGGAACCUUUCCACCAGCACAUUUAAAAGUCAGGAAGACCUAAGACAAGGAGAUCCAAUAUACUCAUCCUAUCCAACUUGGUUAUUGAUUGCCUUGGUAGACUUAUAUACUAAAGGGAGUGGAAGAAGGAAGAAAUGAAGAAUUGAUACCUAUCAAGUCAAUGGGGCUAGGUCUACAUCUCACCUAAUAUAUGUUGAUGAUAUUUUCAUCUUCUCUAAGGCUAACCCAAAAUAUCUGGGAGCCAUUAGGGACAUCUUAUUUGUUUUCUCAAACUUCUCGGGCUUGGAGGUUAAUAAUGAGAAAAGCAAUGCGCACUACUCCAAAGUAGUGUACUCGGGAGAUAAUAGGUUCCCCCCUAAAAAACUCCCACUUACCUAUUUAAGAAUCCUAAUCUCUUGUAAAAGGAAAAUUAUUGAACAAUGUACUGGCCUAAUUCAACCAAUGGAGAAGACCUUAGACAAAUGGAAGGGUAUAUGUCUAUCCUCGUGGAGGCAGGAUUCAAUUAGUUAAUUUGUUGGCAUUGUUCACUUACUGGAUAAAUGGUUCCAUCCUGCACAAUUCAGUAAUCACUAAAGUUAGACAACUGGCCUAUCCUCCCUCUCCCUCAUGGAUAAGAGACAAAUACAUCAAGGGCAGGAGCCUGGAUUCUAUACAUGCCUCCCCCUCUAGGGAUUUCAUUACGUGGAAGUCCAUUCAUAAGUAUAAGAAUGAAAUUGGAUAACCGAUGGAUUGUAGUGAUAACUACAUCCUUAACCUUACUAGAUUAAAACAAGGAACUCCUGCCAAAAAAAUCGUGUAGCAUUAACCCCACCCAGAAAAACUGACCCACUUGCUAAAGGUAUCUGGUCUAGGAAACCCACCUUAUUCUUAGUGUUACUAUAGAGGUUGAGAUGGAGCUUCCUCCCACGUCCUUCUACACCCUUAGACUAUGGGGGAUCCCUGCACCCUAACUUUGUGUCAUAUUUAACCUUGAAGCUGAAACUGUUGGUCACCUUUUCUUUGACUGCCCUUUCUCUAUAGACAUCCUUUUAAUUGUAUCAGACAAACUUUUACAUGCGAGUAGGCGUUUGUGCGAUGGAUUGGGUCGCAUGAACGCCUAGGUCGUCUAGGCAUCGCCUAAAACAUGGGAGCUUACUGGAGUGGGAAAUAGGGCUAGACAGAGUGGGAGGUAGGGCUGACCGGAGUGGGAGAGGUCAAGGUUCGCCAGAGUUGACUGGACGAUGUUCGUCGGAGGUUGCCGGAAUCGCCUUGCGACGUACGUCGGAGGUCGCCGGUGCCGAAGGAGGUUGGCUGAAAAAGAGGUGGGAGAAAAAAAGAGGUGGCUGGAAAUUUGGGAAAAAAGAGAGAAAAAUAGGAGAAAAAUGAGUGAAUAGGGUUAUAAAAUCCUAACCCCCUCUUUUUUAAAGAGAUUUAAUGAGUAUUUGGGUUAGGCGGAUCCAAUACCCUAACCCUAACCGAAUCCACCUAACCUGCCUAGCGCAUGAAGUCAAUCGCCUAGGCGAUCACAUGUAAAAUUAUGGUAUCAGAGGCAACCAAUCGUAUUAUUUGGAAGAGCUGGAAGCAAUCAGAUUGGGGGAUGUGAUAGAUAAUAUACAGUCUCCAAGGAGAGGCUACUUGGAGAUUGCUCUGGUCAUUGCUUGGUGGAAUUACUUGGCACUUGUGGUAAGAGAGGAACAAAAAGUGGAAAAUUGGUGGUUUCAAAACUGAGGAAGUGGUGCCUGCUGAGAUUAUCAAGGACUGCAAGUUAAGCUUUGAUGUAAGACUAACCCUCCUAACUUGGGUAUUCUUGAGGUUGCUGUUAUUGGGCAAUGGAUAAGCUAAUUCCUCUCUAUUUUAUAUUUGAUUGCUAUACUUUUAUGUCCAAUUAUUUCCUGAUCGUGUCAGCCCCAGAUGAUUUUUCCUACUCUCGAGUAGUGCUGUUUGUUAAGGGGUAAUGGUUUUAUUUUUCUGUCGAUAUGUAAAACUGGGAAAGACCCACUUCAUUUUUAAUGAAAAUUUACCUUUGUAAAAAAAAGAAUUAUUAUACAACUCUUUCUCGAAAUUAGUCAACAUACACAUCUCUUCCCGUACAUUGCCCGACAUCGGAUUGGGAGACCUCAUUGAUGCUGGUUAAAAGUUCACACACAAAUAUCCUCAUUGGGGUCUGUUAUGGAACUCUCUGGGAAAGUAACAAAAUGCUCAAGAAGCAUACUCUGAGAACUCCAGAAACCCAUUCCAAGGAAAUCAUAAGAGAAAUCAACCUCUCCUACAAAUCUGAAGAUUUUAGGAGGUUUGCUACAUUCAAUUGGAGAUAACUACUAUGCAAAUAUGAGAGACCAACCUCCUGAGACAGCACACCUAACUAUUUAUUCAUUAGUUGUAAUGCUAUAUAAGAAUAGGCAAAGAAUCAAUGAGUCUUUUCUCAUCUCCCAAUUUUAUUUUAUUUAUUUUCUUCAGUGUAAUUCAGGGUACUGCCCUUCAUUAUUCUAAUAAAAAUUUACUUCUACCAAAAAAGAGUACCUUAUAAGAAUGUCGAACAUGCAUUCUUAGUUCUUACUAUUCUCUUGAUUAGUAAUACUACGCAGAUAAAUUUUACCAAUAUUCAGGUAACAUUUUUAUUUGUCUGCAUUUUUACUUUUACAAAGUGAAUUUUAAAUUUGUACUCAUCCUAAAAUAAACUUUUGAAGUGAGCUAUCUGUUACAGAGAGAUGCAAUUGUGGAGAUAUUCUACGAAAGUCAUUUGGAUCAGUUAAUUGAAAUUAUAAAUUCAGGCUGUACCUCAGAAAACACUGAUCUGGAUUCCAAGUUUUCAUUAUCUGAUGGAAAAGUUGGACACAACACCAUAAAACCUGAAAUUAUGUUAAAUAUCUGUGAGCUUUUGUGCUUUUGUGUUCUUCGUCAUCCUUAUAAAAUAAGGUAACUAUCAUGGAUCCUCUGUUUAUUUCCUGUAAUUUGUAACUUAUUGUCGCUUGUCAUAUUUAUAUACAUGAUGCAUCGCACAUGUAUAACUCAAUAACUGUAUAAGACUUUAAGCAUUUUACAAUUGAAUAAUUAAUUAGUUGUUUUUAUGACAUAUUAUACAUGCAGGGGCAAAUUUCUUCCUAAUAAUAUCUUAAAAAAGGUGAUGUAUUUAAUUCGUAGAAGAGAGAAAUAUUUGAAGGUCUCUGCUGUUCGAUUUAUGCGAACUAUUAUAUCUUGUAAGGUGAGUUAGCCAACAAUUCAGCAUACCCUUUAAAUCUCUUUUGGUAAGCCCAAUCAAUAUUUUUUUAUACUGCAUAAUUUCUUUUUGGAAGACUUUAGAUGGACAGAGUGAGAAUCUGUCCAUCAUAUAUAUGAAUAUUUUGGAAUUUUGAUUCUUGAUUGCAAAAUAUCAUCUGCUGUCGAAGUUUUACAUUGAGAACCCUGCAUCUACAAAUCUAUGUAGAUAUGCGAUGCCUUUAAUAACAAAUUAUACUGCCUUUAAUAACAAAUUAUAUUUUCUUUUGUUUGUUUGAUAGCUGAUACUACACUACUAUAGAUUCGAUGCUCAGCCAAAAGAUCUGAUUAAUGUUAUUUUUUAAUUCUAAAUGAAAUUUUUAGAUAAAUCAACAUUUGGCAUCUCAUUAAUUAUUUCAGGACGAGCAAUUAUUUCAGCAUAUUGUGACGAACAAUCUUUUGAAGCCAGUUAUUGAUUCCUUUGUUUCUAAUGGGAAUAAUUAUAAUAUGCUGCAUUCUGGAGUUUUGGAUCUUUUAGAGUACAUUCGUAAGGUGCUUUCUUUUGCUUAAAUAGUUUUUAAGACUCUCUACUUCUCUAGUCUCUAUUGCAUUAUUUCCAUAUUCUUAUUAUGUAACUUUUUUUAUCCAGGUCAGUAUCAAAACAUUGAUCAAGUAUAUCGUUGAAACCUUCUGGGAUCAAUUAUCAAAGUUUGAGAAAUUGGAAACGGUUCACGGAUUGAAGAUUAGAUAUGAUCAGGUAUUCUCUAUUGUUUUUGUCUCCAAUAAUUUAAAAUGAUGCCAUUUAAAUAUCCAAUAAUGAAUGUUUUUCAAUCUGAAAAUUCUUUAUGAUUCCUUUGCAGUCAUUAGAAGCUUACAACACAAAACCCAUCAAUGGUCUCGUAGAAUCAAGAAAACACACUCGUGAAGGUGGCCUUGAGAAAGAAGAAGAAGACUACUUCAAUGCAGACAGGUUUGUAUCUUGUAAUUUUGUUAACUAUAGAGUUUUCUUCCUGUAAAGGGGUUGACCUUAACUUUUUUAUCAGUGAUGAAGAUUCAGUCUCAGCUGUCUCUACCGACAAACUAAAACAUUAUCCAAAACCAAACUUAUCUAAUGGGUAUGGAUCAUCUAAUACUAUUUUGUGAUCUCUUAGAUAGUUAUGUAAAUUUGAUUUAUAUUUUUAACAAGAUCCAUGAAUUGAAUUUUACAAUGCAAUAUUUACCUAUUCAUUUGCAUUUUGUAGCAGGACUAGUGGUCUGGUUGACUAUGAUGACGAUGAUGGCUACAAUCCACCUCAAAAAAAGAUAGAAUCUUCUAUCGAAAAUAACAUUGUUGCAAGGCCUUUGUCAAAACGUAAAUCUGUUUCCAUAAAAGAUACCAAUGCAGCAAAUCUGGAGAUAAAAAAGAAAGGCAAACUAAAUAGUCAUAAAAUCAAGAGUGCUGUUGCAGUUGCCGCUUGCACUACCAGAAGGCAAAUAGAUUCUCAUGGAAAAAUUAAACUCCCACUCCCACCUGAUAUUUCAGCCGUGAAUAAACGUAGUGUGCAGAAAUCAGAUGCCUGUUGUUCUGAUGGCAUGCCCAGCAAUGCAGAUAUCAAAUAUUCUAUCAGUGAUGAAGGUCCUCCAUUAGAAGAUGUAAGUAACGACACACCAUCUACAAUGCACAAUGCUGCAGAUAUCAAAAAUAGAGGUAAGGAUGAGGUAUCUCCUUCAUUAUGUGAAAUUCCUAAUGUUGCAGAUUCCACACUCUCUUCAAGUGGUGAAGAGGGUUCUUCAAACCACGUAAAAGAUGACUUGUUAUCUGAAACAGCCAUUGCUGAUGAUAUUGGAAAUUCAUGUCAUGAGAAAGCUUCUCCUAUAAAACCCACCGUUAUAGAAAUCAUACAUUCAGAUAGUGAAAAUGAGGAACCCUCUUUAUUGCCAUCAUCUGAAGUAUCAAU